Molecule: ribosomal RNA, 234 nt
Filed under: uncultured bacterium
Lineage: Bacteria
Description: partial 16S ribosomal RNA
Rfam family: Bacterial small subunit ribosomal RNA
Source: RNAcentral
UGAGCAAUCUGCCCUUCUCAUCGGAAUAAGCGUUGGAAACGACGUCUAAUGCCGAAUACGACCUCCUUUCGCAUGAUCGGAGGUGGAAAGCUCCGGCGGAGAAGGAUGAGCUCGCGGCCUAUCAGCUAGUUGGUGUGGGUAAUGGCCCACCAAGGCGACGACGGGUAGCCGGCCUGAGAGGGUGACCGGCCACACGUGGGACUGAGACACGGCCCAGACCUCCGUACGGGAGCA